CGUUCCAUAGUGUAGUGGUUAGCACGGCUGCUUUACAUGCAGAAGGUCCUGGGUUCAUGCCCCAGUGGAGUCA
Molecule: non-coding RNA, 73 nt
Organism: Pteropus alecto (black flying fox)
Lineage: Eukaryota; Metazoa; Chordata; Mammalia; Chiroptera; Pteropodidae
Source: Rfam